This 468-nucleotide ribosomal RNA is filed under the name uncultured bacterium. Its description in RNAcentral is "partial 16S ribosomal RNA". It matches the Rfam family "Bacterial small subunit ribosomal RNA", at positions 28 to 507 of the family's 1533-position model. The record is from RNAcentral.
GACGAACGCUGGCGGCGUGCUUAACACAUGCAAGUCGAACGGAAAGGCCCUGCUUUUGUGGGGUGCUCGAGUGGCGAACGGGUGAGUAACACGUGAGUAACCUGCCCUUGACUUUGGGAUAACUUCAGGAAACUGGGGCUAAUACCGGAUAGGAGCUCCUGCUGCAUGGUGGGGGUUGGAAAGUUUCGGCGGUUGGGGAUGGACUCGCGGCUUAUCAGCUUGUUGGUGGGGUAGUGGCUUACCAAGGCUUUGACGGGUAGCCGGCCUGAGAGGGUGACCGGCCACAAUGGGACUGAGAUACGGACCAGACGCCUACGGGAGGCAGCAGGGGGGAGUAUGGCACAAUGGGCGGAAGCCUGAUGCAGCAACGCCGCGUGCGGGAUGACGGCCUUCGGGUUGUAAACCGCUUUCGCCUGUAACGAAGCGUGAGUGACGGUAAUGGGUAAAGAAGCACCGGCUAACUACGUG